This 82-nucleotide microRNA precursor is filed under the name Marmota monax (woodchuck). Lineage: Eukaryota; Metazoa; Chordata; Mammalia; Rodentia; Sciuridae. The record is from RNAcentral.
UCAUUCUCCUCUAAACCUUCUUGCAUUGUCUCAUACCAGAAGCUCAUGUGUGAGACAAUGCAAGAAGGUUCAGAGGAGAAUG